UCGAACUCCGGUCACUCGGCCGCGGUAAUACGGAGGAGCCGAGCGUUAGCCGGAUUUAUUGGGUUUAAAGGGGGCGUAGGGGGGGGUUUAAGUCAGCUGGGAAAUGCCGUGGCCCAACCAUGGAACUGCAGGUGAAACUGGACCUCUGGAGAGUACAUAAGGAAGGCGGAAUUCGUGGUGUAGCGGUGAAAUGCAUAGAUAUCACGAAGAACUCCGAUUGCGAAGGCAGCUUUCCGGGGUACAUCUGACGCUGAAGCUCGAAAGUGCGGGAAUCAAACAGGAUUAGAUACCCCAGUAGUC
This 300-nucleotide ribosomal RNA is filed under the name uncultured Streptococcus sp. RNAcentral describes it as "bacterial SSU rRNA". It matches the Rfam family "Bacterial small subunit ribosomal RNA", at positions 496 to 795 of the family's 1533-position model. The record is from RNAcentral. Lineage: Bacteria; Bacillati; Bacillota; Bacilli; Lactobacillales; Streptococcaceae.